CCUACGGGGAGCAGCAGUGGGGAAUAUUGCGCAAUGGGCGAAAGCCUGACGCAGCGACGCCGCGUGAGGGAUGAAGGUCUUCGGAUCGUAAACCUCUGUCAGCAGGGAAGAAAGGUCACUGUGCUAAUCAGCAGUGAAUUGACGGUACCUGCAAAGGAAGCACCGGCUAACUCCGUGCCAGCAGCCGCGGUAAUACGGAGGGUGGGAGCGUUAAUCGGAAUUACGGGGCGUAAAGCUCUCGUAGGCGUUAGGUCAAGUCAAGGGUGAAAUCCCCGCGCUCCACGUGGGAACUGCCUUUGAAACUGGCAAACUGGAGUGUGUGAGAGGAUAGUGGAAUUCCAGGUGUAGGAGUGAAAUCCGUAGAUAUCUGGAGGAACAUCAGUGGCGAAGGCGACUAUCUGGCACAUAACUGACGCUGAGGAGCGAAAGCGUGGGUAGCAAACAGGAUUAGAUACCCUGGUAGUC
RNAcentral lists this ribosomal RNA (465 nucleotides) under uncultured bacterium. RNAcentral describes it as "partial 16S ribosomal RNA". It matches the Rfam family "Bacterial small subunit ribosomal RNA", at positions 338 to 795 of the family's 1533-position model. The record is from RNAcentral.